AAGUCGUAACAAGGUUUCCGUAGGUGAACCUGCGGAAGGAUCAUUACCGAGUGAGGGCCCUCUGGGUCCAACCUCCCCACCCGUGUUUAUUUUACCUUGUUGCUUCGGCGGGCCCGCCUUAACUGGCCGCCGGGGGGCUUACGCCCCCGGGCCCGCGCCCGCCGAAGACACCCUCGAACUCUGUCUGAAGAUUGAAGUCUGAGUGAAAAUAUAAAUUAUUUAAAACUUUCAACAACGGAUCUCUUGGUUCCGGCAUCGAUGAAGAACGCAGCGAAAUGCGAUACGUAAUGUGAAUUGCAAAUUCAGUGAAUCAUCGAGUCUUUGAACGCACAUUGCGCCCCCUGGUAUUCCGGGGGGCAUGCCUGUCCGAGCGUCAUUGCUGCCCUCAAGCCCGGCUUGUGUGUUGGGCCCCGUCCCCCGAUCUCCGGGGGACGGGCCCGAAAGGCAGCGGCGGCACCGCGUCCGGUCCUCGAGCGUAUGGGGCUUUGUCACCCGCUCUGUAGGCCCGGCCGGCGCUUGCCGAUCAACCCAAAUUUUUAUCCAGGUUGACCUCGGAUCAGGUAGGGAUACCCGCUGAACUUAA
Molecule: ribosomal RNA, 583 nt
Filed under: Penicillium commune
Lineage: Eukaryota; Fungi; Ascomycota; Eurotiomycetes; Eurotiales; Aspergillaceae
Description: eukaryotic LSU rRNA
Rfam family: 5.8S ribosomal RNA (bases 224-376)
Source: RNAcentral